AGGACGAACGCUGGCGGCGUGCUUAACACAUGCAAGUCGAGCGGAAAGGCCCUUCGGGGUACUCGAGCGGCGAACGGGUGAGUAACACGUGAGCAACCUGCCCCUAGCUCUGGGAUAGCUCCGGGAAACCGGAAUUAAUACCGAAUAUGACUGCGGCUGACAUCAGCCACGGUGGAAAGUUUUCGGCUAGGGAUGGACUCGCGGCCUAUCAGCUAGUUGGUGAGGUAACGGCCCACCAAGGCGACGACGGGUA
RNAcentral lists this ribosomal RNA (253 nucleotides) under uncultured bacterium. Its description in RNAcentral is "partial small subunit ribosomal RNA". It matches the Rfam family "Bacterial small subunit ribosomal RNA", at positions 26 to 285 of the family's 1533-position model. The record is from RNAcentral.